CUUCUUUGCUUUGUAACAAAAACUGCAGCACAAAUCCCUUUUACUCUCAGAAAAAAAAGCAGGACGGGAUAUUUUUUAGCAAAAAAUCUGCACGAUAAAGAAUUUUUUAUCAAUAAAUCUGCAUGACAAAGGUGUAUUUAUAGGAACUAAUCUCUUAUUGGAUGAAUACUUGCUUUUUCUCUAUCAACACGCUAACUGCAUCAUCAGAGUGUUUAGAUUUGUUUAUUUUAUGUAAGGUAUUCAAUAUUUUUGAAAGUUUUUCUAGACAAUGAGUAAUGUAGUAUACUUUGGUAAUUCUAACAAGAGGGAGGGUAAGAGGGGUUCUGAUCCCGAAAUCCCGGGCUUAAAAAACACGAAAUUCAGAGGUCCCGAAAUUCGAUAAAAGAAUUCCCGGAUCCCGAAAGGGUCAAUCCCGAAAUCCCGAGCUUAAAAACACCUGAUCCCGGAGUCCCGGUAAAGGUCCUAUCCCCCCUCUAACAAGUAAUGAGCUUGUUCUUUUCACAAUAUGUAUAUAUAGUCAUAUUAUAUCUUUUUGAAUUUGGAUUAUUAUUAUACACGAUCUUUGUGAUAUCUUAAAAUAUCUAGUCUCUGACUUUCUUAACUGUCUUAAAUAAAUGAGAG
Molecule: long non-coding RNA, 621 nt
Filed under: Mytilus galloprovincialis (Mediterranean mussel)
Lineage: Eukaryota; Metazoa; Mollusca; Bivalvia; Mytilida; Mytilidae
Source: RNAcentral